This 504-nucleotide long non-coding RNA is filed under the name Callithrix jacchus (white-tufted-ear marmoset). RNAcentral describes it as "lncRNA (ENSCJAG00000077312.1)". The record is from RNAcentral. Lineage: Eukaryota; Metazoa; Chordata; Mammalia; Primates; Cebidae.
UUUAAAUUAUGUAAAUAUGUAAAGUUUUAAUUCAUAUGCUUCAAUCUAACUCUCUUUUGAACUCUGGAAGAGAUUAAAUGUGGUGUAAUUAUUAAUAAUUUUAUUUAUUUCUAGAUGAAAGCCAACCAGUUUCUCCAGAAGUUCGCUGUCCCCCAGUAUGCCCAGGCUGUUCCUCUUGCAGUCUAUCAACCUGUGGAAUCACAUUCAGGAAAACACCUACCCAUAUAUUCUAAUUUGGAGGAACUUGUAAGAUUCUUGAAUUAACUGCUGCAAUGUGAGCUUGGGUAUGACUAGAAAAAAAUUAUUCCUUUAUAAUUUCUUCGUCUAUCACAUCACCUCCUACUACCAAUAUAUUUUGGCAUGCUUCAUGAAAAGUCAAGAGUAUUGAGCCAAAAGAAGAUUGUGGAAUAUUUCCCAUAUUGGUUAUAAUCUUUUUAGUUUGUGUUAGAUAUGCCAGAUCUGGAUUGUGGCAUCAAAUUUACUGUACUGAUGAUUAAAUAAGGU